GCGGCGUGCCUAAUACAUGCAAGUCGAGCGGACAGAAGGGAGCUUGCUCCCGGAUGUUAGCGGCGGACGGGUGAGUAACACGUGGGUAACCUGCCUGUAAGACUGGGAUAACUCCGGGAAACCGGAGCUAAUACCGGAUAGUUCCUUGAACCGCAUGGUUCAAGGAUGAAAGACGGUUUCGGCUGUCACUUACAGAUGGACCCGCGGCGCAUUAGCUAGUUGGUGGGGUAAUGGCUCACCAAGGCGACGAUGCGUAGCCGACCUGAGAGGGUGAUCGGCCACACUGGGACUGAGACACGGCCCAGACUCCUACGGGAGGCAGCAGUAGGGAAUCUUCCGCAAUGGACGAAAGUCUGACGGAGCAACGCCGCGUGAGUGAUGAAGGUUUUCGGAUCGUAAAGCUCUGUUGUUAGGGAAGAACAAGUGCGAGAGUAACUGCUCGCACCUUGACGGUACCUAACCAGAAAGCCACGGCUAACUACGUGCCAGCAGCCGCGGUAAUACGUAGGUGGCAAGCGUUGUCCGGAAUUAUUGGGCGUAAAGGGCUCGCAGGCGGUUUCUUAAGUCUGAUGUGAAAGCCCCCGGCUCAACCGGGGAGGGUCAUUGGAAACUGGGAAACUUGAGUGCAGAAGAGGAGAGUGGAAUUUCCACGUGUAGCGGUGAAAUGCGUAGAGAUGUGGAGGAACACCAGUGGCGAAGGCGACUCUCUGGUCUGUAACUGACGCUGAGGAGCGAAAGCGUGGGGAGCGAACAGGAUUAGAUACCCUGGUAGUCCACGCCGUAAACGAUGAGUGCUAAGUGUUAGGGGGUUUCCGCCCCUUAGUGCUGCAGCUAACGCAUUAAGCACUCCGCCUGGGGAGUACGGUCGCAAGACUGAAACUCAAAGGAAUUGACGGGGGCCCGCACAAGCGGUGGAGCAUGUGGUUUAAUUCGAAGCAACGCGAAGAACCUUACCAGGUCUUGACAUCCUCUGACAACCCUAGAGAUAGGGCUUUCCCUUCGGGGACAGAGUGACAGGUGGUGCAUGGUUGUCGUCAGCUCGUGUCGUGAGAUGUUGGGUUAAGUCCCGCAACGAGCGCAACCCUUGAUCUUAGUUGCCAGCAUUCAGUUGGGCACUCUAAGGUGACUGCCGGUGACAAACCGGAGGAAGGUGGGGAUGACGUCAAAUCAUCAUGCCCCUUAUGACCUGGGCUACACACGUGCUACAAUGGACAGAACAAAGGGCUGCAAGACCGCAAGGUUUAGCCAAUCCCAUAAAUCUGUUCUCAGUUCGGAUCGCAGUCUGCAACUCGACUGCGUGAAGCUGGAAUCGCUAGUAAUCGCGGAUCAGCAUGCCGCGGUGAAUACGUUCCCGGGCCUUGUACACACCGCCCGUCACACCACGAGAGUUUGCAACACCCGAAGUCGGUGAGGUAACCUUUAUGGAGCCAGCCGCCGAAGGUGGGCA
RNAcentral lists this ribosomal RNA (1447 nucleotides) under Bacillus pumilus. RNAcentral's name for it is "bacterial SSU rRNA". It matches the Rfam family "Bacterial small subunit ribosomal RNA". The record is from RNAcentral. Lineage: Bacteria; Bacillati; Bacillota; Bacilli; Caryophanales; Bacillaceae.